Molecule: ribosomal RNA, 433 nt
Filed under: uncultured bacterium
Lineage: Bacteria
Description: partial 16S ribosomal RNA
Rfam family: Bacterial small subunit ribosomal RNA
Source: RNAcentral
AACGAACGCUGGCGGCAUGCCUAACACAUGCAAGUCGAACGAGACCUUCGGGUCUAGUGGCGCACGGGUGCGUAACGCGUGGGAACCUGCCCUUAGGUUCGGAAUAACUCCCCGAAAGGGGUGCUAAUACCGGAUAAUGUCUUCGGACCAAAGAUUUAUCGCCUUUGGAUGGGCCCGCGUUGGAUUAGCUAGUUGGUAGGGUAAAAGCCUACCAAGGCGACGAUCCAUAGCUGGUUUGAGAGGAUGAUCAGCCACACUGGGACUGAGACACGGCCCAGACUCCUACGGGAGGCGGCAGUGGGGAAUAUUGGACAAUGGGCGAAAGCCUGAUCCAGCAAUGCCGCGUGAGUGAUGAAGGCCUUAGGGUUGUAAAGCUCUUUUACCCGGGAUGAUAAUGACAGUACCGGGAGAAUAAGCUCCGGCUAACUCCGUG